CCUACGGGCGGCAGCAGUGGGGAAUUUUGGACAAUGGGCGAAAGCCUGAUCCAGCAAUGCCGCGUGCAGGAUGAAGGCCUUCGGGUUGUAAACUGCUUUUGUACGGAACGAAACGGCUCCUCUUAAUAUGGGGGGCUAAUGACGGUACCGUAAGAAUAAGCACCGGCUAACUACGUGCCAGCAGCCGCGGUAAUACGUAGGGUGCGAGCGUUAAUCGGAAUUACUGGGCGUAAAGCGUGCGCAGGCGGUUAUAUAAGACAGAUGUGAAAUCCCCGGGCUCAACCUGGGACCUGCAUUUGUGACUGUAUAGCUAGAGUACGGUAGAGGGGGAUGGAAUUCCGCGUGUAGCAGUGAAAUGCGUAGAUAUGCGGAGGAACACCGAUGGCGAAGGCAAUCCCCUGGACCUGUACUGACGCUCAUGCACGAAAGCGUGGGGAGCAAACAGGAUUAGAUACCCUUGUAGUCA
This 466-nucleotide ribosomal RNA is filed under the name Escherichia coli. RNAcentral describes it as "bacterial SSU rRNA". It matches the Rfam family "Bacterial small subunit ribosomal RNA", at positions 338 to 796 of the family's 1533-position model. Lineage: Bacteria; Pseudomonadati; Pseudomonadota; Gammaproteobacteria; Enterobacterales; Enterobacteriaceae. The record is from RNAcentral.